AGUGGCGGACGGGUGAGUAACGCGUGGGUAACCUGCCUCAUACAGGGGGAUAACAGUUAGAAAUGAUUGCUAAUACCGCAUAAGACCACAGCACCGCAUGGUGCAGGGGUAAAAACUCCGGUGGUAUGAGAUGGACCCGCGUCUGAUUAGGUAGUUGGUGGGGUAACGGCCUACCAAGCCGACGAUCAGUAGCCGACCUGAGAGGGUGACCGGCCACAUUGGGACUGAGACACGGCCCAA
RNAcentral lists this ribosomal RNA (240 nucleotides) under uncultured bacterium. Its description in RNAcentral is "partial 16S ribosomal RNA". It matches the Rfam family "Bacterial small subunit ribosomal RNA", at positions 94 to 334 of the family's 1533-position model. The record is from RNAcentral.